RNAcentral lists this ribosomal RNA (468 nucleotides) under uncultured bacterium. Its description in RNAcentral is "partial 16S ribosomal RNA". It matches the Rfam family "Bacterial small subunit ribosomal RNA", at positions 28 to 507 of the family's 1533-position model. The record is from RNAcentral.
GAUGAACGCUGGCGGCGUGCUUAACACAUGCAAGUCGAACGGUGAAGGCGGAGCUUGCUCUGCUGGAUCAGUGGCGAACGGGUGAGUAACACGUGAGCAAUCUGCCCCUGACUCUGGGAUAAGCGCUGGAAACGGCGUCUAAUACUGGAUACGAGCUGCGAAGGCAUCUUCAGCAGCUGGAAAGAAUUUCGGUCAGGGAUGAGCUCGCGGCCUAUCAGCUUGUUGGUGAGGUAAUGGCUCACCAAGGCGUCGACGGGUAGCCGGCCUGAGAGGGUGACCGGCCACGCUGGGACUGAGACACGGCCCAGACUCCUACGGGAGGCAGCAGUGGGGAAUAUUGCACAAUGGGCGAAAGCCUGAUGCAGCAACGCCGCGUGAGGGACGACGGCCUUCGGGUUGUAAACCUCUUUUAGCAGGGAAGAAGCGAAAGUGACGGUACCUGCAGAAAAAGCGCCGGCUAACUACGUG